UGCGUAGGCGGACUAAUAAGUCAGUGGUGAAAUCUCUCGGCUCAACCGGGAAACUGCCAUUGAUACUGUUAGUCUUGAGUUCGGUUGAGGUAGGCGGAAUGUGUAAUGUAGCGGUGAAAUGCUUAGAUACUACACAGAACACCAAUUGCGUAGGCAGCUUACUAGACCGACACUGACGCUGAGGCACGAAAGCGUGGGUAGCGAACAGGAUUAGAUACCCUGGUAGUCC
RNAcentral lists this ribosomal RNA (229 nucleotides) under uncultured bacterium. RNAcentral's name for it is "partial 16S ribosomal RNA". It matches the Rfam family "Bacterial small subunit ribosomal RNA", at positions 568 to 796 of the family's 1533-position model. The record is from RNAcentral.